UACGGAGGGUGCGAACGUUAUUCGGAAUCACUGGGCGUAAAGCGCGCGUAGGCGGUUUGCUAAGUGGGAUGUGAAAUCCCCGGGCUUAACCUGGGAAUUGCAUUUCAAACUGGCCGACUAGAGUACGGUAGAGGGAGGUAGAAUUUCCUGUGUAGCGGUGAAAUGCGUAGAUAUAGGAAGGAAUACCAGUGGCGAAGGCGGCCUCCUGGAUCGAUACUGACGCUGAGGCGCGAAAGCGUGGGGAGCAAACAGG
RNAcentral lists this ribosomal RNA (253 nucleotides) under uncultured bacterium. RNAcentral describes it as "partial 16S ribosomal RNA". It matches the Rfam family "Bacterial small subunit ribosomal RNA", at positions 524 to 776 of the family's 1533-position model. The record is from RNAcentral.